UACGUAGGGUGCAAGCGUUGUCCGGAAUCAUUGGGCGUAAAGAGCGUGUAGGCGGCUCGAUUAGUCCGCUGUAAAAGUCCAGGGCUCAACCCUGGGAUGCCGGUGGAAACUGUCGGGCUAGAGUCCGGGAGAGGCGAGUGGAAUUCCUGGUGUAGCGGUGAAAUGCGCAGAUAUCAGGAGGAACACCAAUUGCGAAGGCAGCUCGCUGGGACGUUACUGACGCUGAGACGCGAAAGCGUGGGGAGCAAACAGG
This 253-nucleotide ribosomal RNA is filed under the name uncultured bacterium. Its description in RNAcentral is "partial 16S ribosomal RNA". It matches the Rfam family "Bacterial small subunit ribosomal RNA", at positions 524 to 776 of the family's 1533-position model. The record is from RNAcentral.